Long non-coding RNA from Oncorhynchus kisutch (coho salmon), 6666 nucleotides. RefSeq lists it as uncharacterized. NCBI's taxonomy places the organism in Eukaryota, Metazoa, Chordata, Actinopteri, Salmoniformes, Salmonidae. The record is from RefSeq and is a predicted model, not a curated record. The transcript is spliced from 2 exons.
GCAGAUGGCGAUGUGCGUCUUUUAGGUUCAGGCGACGCUGCCAGUGUGACGAAUAAUUUAGUGGCUCAACAACAGCUUGUCAGACACCUCGCUAGCAAACAUAGCUACAACAUUCACGCUCUUUACACUGUUUUGGUGUAAAUUAGUCGCUGUGUAUUAAACACACUUAUGUAUGUAUGUAUGAACUUGUUGACCCAUUCAAUUAUAUAUUUACGUUGAUUGACAGCUAGCUGGUUUGCUAAGGUAGCUUGGAACUAGGCUAGUCGCUAAUGCUAGCUUGCUAACAUCCCCGAGCAUGAGUUCACUAAGCUACUCUCCUGAUGAAGAAGACGAGGUCUGCUGGACGGAGAAAGAAGCUCUGGUGAAAGAGGAGGAGGAAGAGGAGGAUGUUACAAUACAAAAACAAUUAGAGGGUGAGGCUGUUACCUUUUCAGUGAAAGAAGAGGAAGACCCGUUCAGAGUGAACGAGGAGGAGGAUGUUAUAGUAAAAGAAGAGGAGGAAGAGAAAGAGGAGGAGGGGGUGAUUUCUGUCACAUUGGAGGAAGAAGAGGAGGUUGGAGAUCUGUUUAACACCAGAGAGAGACGGGACUACCGUAGGUCCUCUGGGGAGCCUCAACAACCUCAGGAUGCUGAUGAGGCAGAGAAGAGUCUCUCCAGAUCAGAACACCAGCAGAGAUCCACAGGGAAGAGAACUCACUGCUGCUCUGACUGUGGGAAGAGAUUCUCCUCCUCAUCAGGCAUUCAAAUUCAUCAGAGAAUCCACACAGGAGAGAAAUCUUAUGGCUGUGAUCAAUGUGGGAAGAGUUUUGUUCAAUAUCGCCGUCUGAAGAUACACCAGAGGACACACACAGGAGAGAAAUCAUAUAGCUGUGAUCAAUGUGGGAAGAGUUUUACUCAGCUAAGCAGCCUGAUAUCACACCAGAGAACACACAUAGGCGAGAAACCUUAUAGCUGUACGCAAUGUGGGAAGAGUUUUACUCAGCUAAGCAUCCUGAUAUCACACCAGAGAACUGUCGUGACGUUGUAUUAAUUAAUGUGACGACUGCUCAUUGAAUUAUUAAAUGUUUCUAAUUGCGUGAUUAAAUGAAUCAAGCAAUUAUUAACUCAUUAACCUGGGGCACCAUGGGCAAAUGAGUUUUAUUGAGUUUCUAUUUCCCAAAUUAACUCAAAGAAUAUCAGAAUAUCGAUUUUAUAACCUUCGCUAAUUAAUCAGUUUCCUUUACAAUCUCAUUCUGAACGUCGCAUAAUCCGUCAAUCUGCACAAACCCGAGUCCCACCAAUGAGUUCGUACCACACCAAUCUUAGUUGAGUAUUUAUUUACUAGAAAGCUAAAAUGAUGAUAAAAGAUACACAUACACCAAAAACACAGUCUAGGCUAUUGAUUAGAACUUAGUAUUAUGGGCCAACACACUAUGGCGCGUGUUACCCAAAAUGGGGAUUUAAAAGAGAGAGAAAAAGUAAAAGCACACGAGAGAAAUAUACAUUUGGAUGCAUUUGUCAGCUAUGCUUAUUUUAACCCAAGCCUUGCCCCAAACUGCCGCUCUUAUGGGUCAGAAUAUAAUGAUGUAAUUACCUGUGGGAGGUCUCAGAUGGGAAGCUCCGCGUGGGUCGCUUUGGCCUCUCAAUGACGCACUUCUCCGGCGCAACUCUCUGGUCGUCCUCACAAUGUCAGUGUCCAUUUGGUCUGAUUCCCCGCCCUUGCUCUGGGAGGAGUCUUCUGAGGACAGACAGAUCUGUAGCUCGGGGCUCACAGCUUAGGAAUGAAACAGUGUAGAUACCACGAUUCGAUGGAGAGUGGAGGUUAGGUGGUCCGGCUUGAAUUCACCCGCUGAGACACAGCUACUCAUCAGUAGCAUGGGUAGAAAAAUAUUUAUUUGUCUUCAACCUUGGGUUGAGUUUUGGGUUCGUUUACUUUUUAGACCUAGGCUGCAGCUUGGGUCACUUAGUCUGAUCUGUUCAUUCUGACUCACAGGUCUUAUACCCUUGGGUCAGAAGUGGGCGUAACCGCCUUCAGGGCAAUUCUCUGGGUGUACCAAGUUAAGAGGCAAGGUCUAGAUUUUACUCAAAUCCAAUUUUAGACAACUAACUUAACAUUUCAACUUUACCAAAACAUUCUCUUUGAUUUGGACAUUUUCCACACAACGUCCAAUGAAUAAACAUCAAGUGUAUCCUAGGAAAACUCUUAAAAUUACAAUGUUUCCGUAAAGACAUUGUCCUUUAACCUUUAAUAACCAGACAAAAAUGACAUACAUUUUCAUAUUCCAUUGUGGCUGACGGAAACCAUUGUUCCAAAGUCCCUUUAUUGCAUGUUUAAUGUUCUGAGGCUGGUUCUCCAUAGUGAAAGGAAUGUUGUCUGUGGCCUAAGAUUUACCAUGGGCGUGAGGGGUCAUAAAAACCCCACAUCUUCAGACCCCUAGAUCUCUCCUCCUCUGUUGGGGGUGAGAGAUUAUCUGUAGGGUUGUGGUCUCCUGUAACCUGACCUUUUCAGGACAGUCAUGACAGAACACACACAGGAGAGACACCAUAUAGCUGUGAUGAAUGUGGGAAGAGUUUUACUGCAUCUAGAAAUCUGAAUCUACACCAGAGAACACACACAGGAGAGAAAUAUUUUUGCUGUACUCAGUGUGGGAAGAGUUUUACUCUGCUAAGCAACCUGCUUUCACACCAGAGAACACACACAGGAGAGAAAUCUCUUAACUGUGACCAGAGAUAAUCUGAUAAAAGAUCGCAGAUCAAAUAUCAGAAAGUACAUACAUGGAGUUGUUUCAUGAUAUCAAUGAAUUAAUGUCACAAUGUAAAAUGUUUUAACAAUGUACUAGGAGUAUUUUAAUAAUGUCACAAUGUAGAAGCCUAAAUGUUUGCCCCUUUAUCAAUUGAUUUCAACAUGAUAUGGACAUUAGCCUCAGGGGGAAAAUCCUGGCUAUGAAUUGAAAGUUGUUGUUUUACACUUACCACGUUGGUGACCCACUUGAAUCAAAAUGCAACACUUCAAAAUGUAGCUAGCUGUUUACCACGUUGUUGUCCUCAAACCAGUGAUGUUUACAUUAUUCCCAGAUUCCGUGUGGCUUUUGAGCUGUUAGUUUUAACAGGACGUGCAACCUCAUCUCCCUCCUCUCGCACAAUUGAUUUCAACGUGAUAUCGAUGAGUGAUGACAUAAGUGAGGCGUUCCUUUGUUUAGUGACCCCUAAAUUUAAAUGCAUCACUCCAAAAUGUAGCUGACUGUCUUCUGCAGGUUGUCCUCUAACCAGUGAGGGAAAAUAUAUCUCUCAUUUCCAUGUGUUUUUUUAGUUGUGUUAGUUUCAACAGCACGUACAACCUGAUUUCCCCCCUAAUCGAUAUCAGUGAUUUAUUGCUGCUUGUUCAUUUUUAUAAGGUGCUUGUUUUAAAUAAUACAAGUAAUAUGAUUAUUGUGGCAGAUGUUUGUGUAUAUUGCACAUUUUAUGUUUAGGUUUUCAAUAUAUUAAAGUGUUUCUGCAUAUUGGUUAUUGAUUUGCACACGUUAAAACUGUGUGUUGACAUUGGGGCUAUCGCACCUAGCAAAAUUGAAAAGAAGACUAUGCCCAACGGCCAAUAAUCAAUAAAUCUGUAAUCAAUUUUAUUAACAAUCCUACAUCACUCCAGUAUUUCUUUACAACAUUCAAAUCCUAAUUGUCUUUAUUUCCACUACUGAAGAAGCCUGACUCAAAUCACCUCAUUUUAAACAUCCAGCCUGACAAAAGAUACAUGUUUUAUUAUUCCAUGCCUCACCAUUAUGAUAAUUAUUAAUAUCAUUAAUUAUUAAUACAUAUUAACAAGGGGGUGUACAUUUGGUUUUGAUAUUUCAUAUUUACAAUUCAUGUAACAUUCAGUAAUCAUAAUUAUUUAUGCAGCCAACUGACAAUUUUUGGGUGCAAUUUCAUUGACAUUGUUAGGUUGCUAUUAUAAUAUCAGGAUUACAAUUUAUUUUGACUGCACGUUUUUCCAUAUUGGAGAUGAGUUUUGUUUGGGCUCCUUCCAAGGGGAUGAGAGUUCUAGAAGCUAGUGAGUUUUAGGAAGACGAGAGUUUUCUAGUGGGUAAUGGUUUUUUUCUUGUUUUUAAUUCUUGAGAGCCAGUAGACACCAUGUUUAUAAUGUAGAAGGUGAAGCAUUGUAGUUGAUUAUAAUGUGAAAUGGAAGUUGUUUUCUGUUGGUGGUAAGCACACUUGUCCAACAAAAAUAUACAAUAUAUUUGGGCAAGGUGAGACGUCUGCGUCUCACAUAGCCAACAGGAGAUGGAAAUGCGCAAUGCCAAAUGCUAAUAGUACUCACUAAAACUCAAACUUUCAUUAAAACACACAUGCAGGGUACUCAAUUAAAGCUACACUCGUUGUGAAUCUAGCCAACAUGUCAGAUUUUUUAAAUGCUUUUCGGCGAAAGCAUGAGAAGCUAUUAUCUGAUAGCAUGCAACCCCCCGAAAUACCUGUAGGGAACGUAAACAAAAGAAUUAGCGUAUACCCAAAAUGUCCAUUUAUGAAGCCCGUCUGAAUCAGGAAAAAGCAGCUUUACAAAACGCAACGUCAUUUUUUUUUAUUAAAAAAGUUGCCGAUAAACUUUGUCAAAACACUUCAAACUACUUUUGUAAACCUACUUUAGGUAUUAGUAAACGUUAAUAAUCGAUCAAAUUGAUCACGGUGCGAUCUGUAUUCAAUAGCAGCAAAUCUUGAAAUGAAGGUCCAUUUUCUCUCUCUCAAAACUUCCAGCUGUGGACUCGAUAACAGGAAGUGCCUAUUUCUCAUCUCACCAAGGAUUAACUUCAAACCAAAUGACAGUACUGGCGACAUCGUGUGGAAGCUGUAGGCAUUGUAAACUGGUCGCUAUCUAUUUUCCCUUGCCAUAGACAAUACAGGCAACUGGCGGAAGGAUAUUUUUUAUUUGUUUGGUGAACAGUUUUCCUUGGGCUUUUGCCUGCUCCACACGUUCUGUUAUAGUCACAGACAUGAUUUAACUAGUUUUAGAAACUUCAGAGUGUUUUCUAUCCACACAUACUAAUCAUAUGCAUGUACUAUAUUCCUGGCAUGAGUAGCAGGACGUUGCAAUUUUGCGCGAUUUUUAACAAAACGUUGAAAAAAAAGACCCGAUCUUUAAGAGGUUUAAUAGAUGCCCUCAAUCUCACACAAAUUAUCAAGGAACCCACCAGGUACAACCCUAAAUCCGUAAACAUGGGCACCCUCAUAGAUAUUAUCCUGACCUCCAAAUACACCUCUGCUGUUAUCAAUCAGGAUCUCAGCGAUCGUUUCCUGCAUCCGUUAUGGGUCCGCCGUCAUUCGACCAACCCUCAUCACUGUCAAACGUUCCCUAAAACUCUUCUGCAAGCAGGCCUUUCUAAUCGACAAUUUCCUCACCACCUUAAAUAAACAUGCCCCUUUCAAAAAAUGUAGAACUAAGAACAGAUAUAGCCAUUGGUUCACUCCAGACCUGACUGCCCUUGACCAGCACAAAAACAUCCUGUGGCGUACUGCACUUGCAUCGAAUAGUCCCCGCGAUAUGCAUCUUUUCAGAGAAGUCAGGAACCAAUACACACAGUCAGUUAGGAAAGAAAAGGCUAGCCUUUUCAAACAGAAAUGUGCAUCCUGUAGCUCUAACUCCAAAAAUUUCUGGGACACUGUAAAGUCCUUGGAGAAUAAGAGCACCUCAACCCAGCUGCCCACUGCACUGAGGCUAGGAAACACUGUCACCACCGAAAAGUCCACGAUAAUCGAGAAUUUUAACAAGCAUUUUUCUACGCCUGGCCAGACACUCUUAAAUAGAACCUGGACCAGCUGGCUACCCCAAACCCCGGCCAACAGCUCCGCACUCCCGCAGCUACUUUCCCAAGCCUCCCCAGCUUCUCCUUCACCCAAAUCCAGAUAGCUGAUUAUUCUGAAAGAGCUGCAAAGCCUGGACCCGUACAAAUCAGCUGGGCUAGACAAUCUGGACCCUCUCUUUCUAAAAUGAUCUGCCGCCAUUGUGGCAACCCCUAUAACUAGUCUGUUCAACCUCUCUUUCGUAUCGUCCAUGAUUCCUAAACAUUGGUGUGGGUUUUUCUUUUCUUUGCCUCUUCUUGGGAAGAUUUAGUGGGUCUCAUGGUGUGUGUAUUUUAGGUCCCAGUUGUUGUUACUAGUCAAUGUUCAGUGGACACAGAGCAAAACUGCAAGAUUAUGUUCUAAUACUUUUAUUGCAUCAAAUGGUUGUUUUAUGCAACAGAAUAGAGGGUUCUUAGAACUAUUAUGUCUGUGUUCUACUGAGGAUGGGCCUCAGUAGACAAUGACAGGGGAUUUACAAUGUCUUUUGGGUGAUAAAACCUAAAGAGACCGCAUUCCAGAGCAUGAGUUAAUGUUUCUGUUCUAUAUGGUACCAGGGAGAGAUGACCCCAGGGCCAGACCCUGGUCUCUACACAAAGAGUACUGUUUUUACAGCAGAUACUGUCUGCUGAGAAUUAUCGGUAUCUUUCAUACAAAUCGUAAUCUUGUGAACCGUUCUAUACAUCUAUUGUUCGUCAUGUAGGUUGAAAGGAGAGUAUCUUGGCUAUAAAAGACCUUUGUACUUUUGUCCUGUGGGUCGACCAGCCAUUAGUAUCGUAGAGCACACAAUUGAUUAACUUUAUAUAUGUACGUUCUAUUGACCUGCUCUCUUAUUAAUAAGUGAAUAAAGAUUUAUUUUAAGAAUAA